This 465-nucleotide ribosomal RNA is filed under the name Vreelandella stevensii. RNAcentral's name for it is "partial 16S ribosomal RNA". It matches the Rfam family "Bacterial small subunit ribosomal RNA", at positions 338 to 795 of the family's 1533-position model. Lineage: Bacteria; Pseudomonadati; Pseudomonadota; Gammaproteobacteria; Oceanospirillales; Halomonadaceae. The record is from RNAcentral.
CCUACGGGAGGCUGCAGUGGGGAAUAUUGGACAAUGGGCGAAAGCCUGAUCCAGCCAUGCCGCGUGUGUGAAGAAGGCCUUCGGGUUGUAAAGCACUUUCAGUGGGGAAGAAAGCCUUGGGGCUAAUACCCUCGAGGAAGGACAUCACCCACAGAAGAAGCACCGGCUAACUCCGUGCCAGCAGCCGCGGUAAUACGGAGGGUGCGAGCGUUAAUCGGAAUUACUGGGCGUAAAGCGCGCGUAGGCGGUCUGAUAAGCCUGUUGUGAAAGCCCCGGGCUCAACCUGGGAACGGCAUCCGGAACUGUCAGGCUAGAGUGCAGGAGAGGAAGGUAGAAUUCCCGGUGUAGCGGUGAAAUGCGUAGAGAUAGGGAGGAAUACCAGUGGCGAAGGCGGCCUUCUGGACUGACACUGACGCUGAGGUGCGAAAGCGUGGGUAGCAAACAGGAUUAGAUACCCGGGUAGUC